This 464-nucleotide ribosomal RNA is filed under the name uncultured Klebsiella sp. Its description in RNAcentral is "bacterial SSU rRNA". It matches the Rfam family "Bacterial small subunit ribosomal RNA", at positions 339 to 795 of the family's 1533-position model. Lineage: Bacteria; Pseudomonadati; Pseudomonadota; Gammaproteobacteria; Enterobacterales; Enterobacteriaceae. The record is from RNAcentral.
CUACGUGAGGCUGCAGUGGGGAAUAUUGCACAAUGGGCGCAAGCCUGAUGCAGCCAUGCCGCGUGUGUGAAGAAGGCCUUCAGGUUGUAAAGCACUUUCAGCGGGGAGGAAGGCGUUAAGGUUAAUAACCUUGUCGAUUGACGUUACCCGCAGAAGAAGCACCGGCUAACUCCGUGCCAGCAGCCGCGGUAAUACGGAGGGUGCAAGCGUUAAUCGGAAUUACUGGGCGUAAAGCGCACGCAGGCGGUCUGUCAAGUCGGAUGUGAAAUCCCCGGGCUCAACCUGGGAACUGCAUUCGAAACUGGCAGGCUAGAGUCUUGUAGAGGGGGGUAGAAUUCCAGGUGUAGCGGUGAAAUGCGUAGAGAUCUGGAGGAAUACCGGUGGCGAAGGCGGCCCCCUGGACAAAGACUGACGCUCAGGUGCGAAAGCGUGGGGAGCAAACAGGAUUAGAUACCCUUGUAGUC